Molecule: long non-coding RNA, 1088 nt
Organism: Chenopodium quinoa (quinoa)
Lineage: Eukaryota; Viridiplantae; Streptophyta; Magnoliopsida; Caryophyllales; Amaranthaceae
Exons: 4
Source: RefSeq, a predicted model, not a curated record
UUGGCCCAAAUAAUGAGAGGAGCCCAAUACUUGCUUUUUAGGGUUUCACCUCUUUCUCUCAUCAGUCGCUCACUCCCUCUCUCUCUCUCCUCUCCUCUCCUCCCCGUCAUUCACCUCUCCUCCCCUCCCCGUCAUACACCUCUCCUCUCCUCUCCUUCCCUCCCCUCUCCAAUACUUGAGUAGCGAUUGUGUUCAUCUUGAGACGAGAAACUUAACCGGCGGCUUCAUACAGGAGCUCUCAAGCGGCGUCGUUUUGGGUGGAGGUGUAACCGGCGGUGACGGAACUCUUGUUGAAAACCCACUCCGGUUCGACCAGGGUCCGAACCCGGUUAGCGUCGAUUAGCGUCGAUUGUGGCAGACGUUGAAAACAACCAAGCCCGUAGGCUUCUUCAUCCUUAGAUCCAAGUCGUUGAACGAACUGAUUCUAGAAGGAAAGAAAGCGAAAUUGACAUGGAAGAAUCUCGAGAAAGGGAUGAAUCACUGCUUUUCCAAGACCUGGCUUUGAAUGAUGACUUGCAAAGAGUACUUGCAAAGCAUGAAGCCGCAAGAGAACUCGAAACCUGAAUCUAGUAAAGGGCUUGUAGCUAUUGAUGCUCCUUUGGUUGAUUUAGGAGAAAGCAGCAAGCAAGCUGAUGGAAGAUUUGGCGUAUGGGAAGCUGCAAAAUGGGUUGCACGUGUCCGAGAAAGUACAAUAUUACCCAGCUCGCCCUAUUCUGCUUAACUUAACAAUUGAGAUAGUUAAAGAGAACAGAGGUACAUGUGAAGUAAAGAGUUGGCCUUGGAGACUGCAUUUCUUAUGAAGAUGAUGGAGUCCUAGCUGUUCUCCUUAACCUGGUCCUGUUUUCUGGAAGAUUGGUCGAUGUCUGAACUACUGAAGUGUCACAGGAAUUCCUGUACUAUUAUAAUCCCUUGGUUUUAUCAUGUCUUGUUUUACUAUACAUAUUUAACUCCCAGUAGAUCCCUAAGAUCUGGAUUAAAAAAUCCAAAUCGCAAGCAUUCUUUAUUUGUAAUGUUUUACUAAAAUUUUGAUAUUAUGUUGUAUUAAUUUUUACGAAAGGUUGUUUAGUAUAAUUGUUUAUUUACAGGAA